Molecule: transfer RNA, 69 nt
Filed under: Marmota monax (woodchuck)
Lineage: Eukaryota; Metazoa; Chordata; Mammalia; Rodentia; Sciuridae
Description: tRNA.Ala
Source: RNAcentral
GUGGCUGUGGCUCAGUGGUAGAGUGCUUGCCUGGCACGUGAGGCCUUGGGUUCAAUGCUCAGCACCACA